RNAcentral lists this ribosomal RNA (400 nucleotides) under phytoplankton environmental sample. RNAcentral's name for it is "partial small subunit ribosomal RNA". It matches the Rfam family "Eukaryotic small subunit ribosomal RNA", at positions 587 to 987 of the family's 1831-position model. The record is from RNAcentral.
AGCUCCAGUAGCGUACACUAACGUUGUUGCAGUUAAAAAGCUCGUAGUUGGAUUUCUGGGCGAUGCUGACGGUUCGCUCCCUUUGGGUUGCGUGACCAGUCGUGCGUCGUUCAUCCUGUCGUGACCUGCUCUGGCCUUGAUUGGUCGGAGUCUAGCGAACGGCUCAUUUACUUUGAGAAAAACAGAGUGUUCAAAGCAGGCCAGUGCCUUGAAUGUUCCAGCAUGGAAUAAUGACAUAGGACUUCUGUCCUGGUUGUUGGUGUACAGGACCGAAGUAAUGAUUGAGAGGGACGGUUGAGGGCAUUUGUAUUGUCGGGCGAGAGGUGAAAUUCGCGGACCCCGGCAGGACAAACUAUUGCGAAGGCAUCUGCCAAGGACGUUUCCUUUAAUCAAGAACGAA